CUUGUCUUGUUGUUAGCUAGGACUUCCAGUAAGAUGUUGAAAAGGAAAAGUGAGAAGAAACAUCCUUGCCUUGUUCCUGAAGAAUGGCAGUCUUUUUAGCAGUCUAGAAACAGACUGGAUGCAAUGUUGUUAUGGAAUAAGAUUUUUUUCCUGCUCUAGAAUUCAACAUUCCUAAAACCUAACAACUCAAAGUGUGGCUGAGGACCAACAGCAUCAGCACUUCCUGACCUCUUGGAAAAAAUGCACAACCUCAGGCCCAACCCAGACACCAGAAGCUGCAUUUAAAAAGAUCUCUAUGCCAUCUAUAUGCACAUUAAAGCUUGAGAAGUCCUGAUUUAGAAUAUUAUGCUUUCAUCCACCAACUGUAGCAUCUUCCUGAGUACCAUAUACACCAGACCCUAUGCUAGACACUGUGGAUAUUAAGAUAAAUUAUUCCUUCACUGAAGAGUCUUACAGUCUACUAGGAAAGACAGGCAGGCACAUAUGGUGAUAGUUGGGUGAACAGAGUGCUAAGGAAACAAGAAGAGGAAAUAAGUCUGCUUUCUUAAGAUGCUCAGAGGAGAUGGAAAGAUUGACAUUUCCACUGGGCCUUCAAAGAUGGGGAGUGUUCCCCAGCCUUUAACCCUUCAUCUGCGGGCGUUAUGUGGGAACUCUGCUUCGAGUAAGACAAACUUCCCAUGAAGUCUUCAAUUCCACCUACCUAGUCAAAGCAGGUCUACACAGCCCCUGACGGGACCCUUACUCUUGUGCGUUGGGAUCCUCACUAUUUCAUGCCCCACAACAGUCACAUUUUUGCUAAAACUGUAUAACUUGAUUCCACUAGCAUUAAACUCACAAUAUUUCUGCAGUUACCACAGGAAGCCCCAGACUUCCUCAUACCUCCUGGGCUGUCUCCUGAAUAUCAUCUAAUUCUACUCAUGCCCUUUUCAGUCUCUAUCUCACCCUGCCCCCCCCGCCACAAAAUACUUUAGAAUUUGUGGUCCAUCAACAGCAAAAUCUCCUACAUCAUCAACCUCUUUUUUGAGCAUUUCCUUCACCAUUUUACUGUAACAGAAACCUGGAUCUCCCUGAUGAUGCUUUAUUUCCUGAAGCCCUCUCAAGCGGUACUUGUUUUUCUCUCAUAUCCCUAAGACAACUGGGCUUAAACAUAGAGUAUUUUUCCUUUUGGCUUCUCAUUGAUAAUUCCAUACGUCUCUCUAUUUUCUCUAGAACAGAUAAUCUUGACUACAUCUUUUGUUUUUAUUGUCUUCCAGUUCAUCACUACUGUUCCUCAUUGUGUUGUCAUCUACAGAUAUCGGGGCACUCGCUUCAUCUCUGUGAUUUUAACUAUAGUUUCACUGUCAUUCUCUCCUAAUCUACUUAUGUCUUAUUUCUUGGUGAUUUGAAUAUAUACAGAGAUGAUCCUGCCUACUCUCAGUUCCCGUAAAUUCUCCCCUGUGAAGAGUUUGACCAUCAGUUAUCACAACCACUCACUCCUGUGGUCAUACCCUAGACCAUGUCAAUUCCCAUACCUGCAACUUUUCCAUAAUCUCAUUUUCAUAUAUCUCAUUAUUUGAUUACCCCCCCUUCUUUCUAGCUGAUUCCUCUAGAAUUGCCCCACAAUCUAUGACCUUAC
Molecule: long non-coding RNA, 1615 nt
Organism: Diceros bicornis minor
Lineage: Eukaryota; Metazoa; Chordata; Mammalia; Perissodactyla; Rhinocerotidae
Exons: 3
Source: RefSeq, a predicted model, not a curated record